This 460-nucleotide ribosomal RNA is filed under the name uncultured bacterium. RNAcentral's name for it is "partial 16S ribosomal RNA". It matches the Rfam family "Bacterial small subunit ribosomal RNA", at positions 338 to 795 of the family's 1533-position model. The record is from RNAcentral.
CCUACGGGUGGCAGCAGUGAGGAAUAUUGGUCAAUGGACGAGAGUCUGAACCAGCCAUGCCGCGUGCAGGAUGACGGCUCUAUGAGUUGUAAACUGCUUUUGUAUUAGGGUAAACCCCCCUACGUGUAGGGUCUUGAACGUAUAAUACGAAUAAGGAUCGGCUAACUCCGUGCCAGCAGCCGCGGUAAUACGGAGGAUCCGAGCGUUAUCCGGAUUUAUUGGGUUUAAAGGGAGCGUAGAUGGGUUGUUAAGUCAGUUGUGAAAGUUUGCGGCUCAACCGUAAAAUUGCAAUUGAUACUGGCAGUCUUGAGUACAGUUGAGGUAGGCGGAAUUCGUGGUGUAGCGGUGAAAUGCUUAGAGAUCACGAAGAACUCCGAUUGCGAAGGCAGCUUACUAAACUGCCACUGACAUUGAUGCUCGAAAGUGUGGGUAUCAAACAGGAUUAGAUACCCGAGUAGUC